UGGAGGAUGGACAUUGUGCUGGUGGUUUGAAUUCCAUCAGCAUUUGCUGGUUUGUGGUGGAGUUUCCCGAAUGUAUUAUUUUGUUUUGACCACGCAACAUUGAUCCGAAGCUCCUGAAGAGAUGACGUUGUCCCAAACCUAUUUAAAGUUCUUAGCAUCAUGUCAUGCAUUACCAACUGACUCAUUAUCUUUUAGACUAACAAUAUGAAAACUUAAGUUGAAGAGUACACGUCAAGAAACCGAAUUAGCUUCUGAUGAAUUCACAUUUGGAAUGAAACGUCAAAUGCUUGAGAAGAGGGAUCGCCAAUUAGCAGAGUUUUCUUUUUUUUCUUUUCUUUUUUUGAUCUUUUACCUUUCCAUAAUUAUUACCAAGUCUAGACAAGCUGGUAGCAACCGUCUCUUCUUAGCAUUGGGUAAUACUCUCAGCUUUCUCUCAUUGGCC
This 442-nucleotide long non-coding RNA is filed under the name Elaeis guineensis (African oil palm). Its description in RNAcentral is "long non-coding RNA (EGUI_LNC016330)". Lineage: Eukaryota; Viridiplantae; Streptophyta; Magnoliopsida; Arecales; Arecaceae. The record is from RNAcentral.